This 497-nucleotide ribosomal RNA is filed under the name uncultured bacterium. RNAcentral describes it as "partial 16S ribosomal RNA". It matches the Rfam family "Bacterial small subunit ribosomal RNA", at positions 28 to 507 of the family's 1533-position model. The record is from RNAcentral.
GAUGAACGCUGGCGGCGUGCCUAAUACAUGCAAGUCGAGCGAACAGACGAGGAGCUUGCUCCUCUGACGUUAGCGGCGGACGGGUGAGUAACACGUGGAUAACCUACCUAUAAGACUGGGAUAACUUCGGGAAACCGGAGCUAAUACCGGAUAAUAUAUUGAACCGCAUGGUUCAAUAGUGAAAGACGGUUUUGCUGUCACUUAUAGAUGGAUCCGCGCCGCAUUAGCUAGUUGGUAAGGUAACGGCUUACCAAGGCAACGAUGCGUAGCCGACCUGAGAGGGUGGUCGGCCACACUGGAACUGAGACACGGUCCAGACUCCUACGGGAGGCAGCAGUAGGGAAUCUUCCACAAUGGGCGAAAGCCUGACGGAGCAACGCCGCGUGAGUGAUGAAGAUCUUCGGAUCGUAAAACUCUGUUAUUAGGGAAGAACAAAUGUGUAAGUAACUAUGCACGUCUUGACGGUACCUAAUCAGAAAGCCACGGCUAACUACGUG